UAUGGAAGUGAUGACUGAUUACCGCCCCAGUCUGAAAAUUCAUGACUGAUUGGUAUACACUCUGAUCCACA
Pimephales promelas (fathead minnow) is the source of this 71-nucleotide small nucleolar RNA. The record is from RefSeq and is a predicted model, not a curated record. NCBI's taxonomy places the organism in Eukaryota, Metazoa, Chordata, Actinopteri, Cypriniformes, Leuciscidae.